Molecule: ribosomal RNA, 253 nt
Filed under: uncultured Paracoccaceae bacterium
Lineage: Bacteria; Pseudomonadati; Pseudomonadota; Alphaproteobacteria; Rhodobacterales; Paracoccaceae
Description: uncultured Rhodobacteraceae bacterium partial 16S ribosomal RNA
Rfam family: Bacterial small subunit ribosomal RNA
Source: RNAcentral
UACGGAGGGGGCUAGCGUUAUUCGGAAUUACUGGGCGUAAAGCGCACGUAGGCGGAUUGAAAAGUUGGAGGUGAAAUCCCAGGGCUCAACCUUGGAACUGCCUUCAAAACUAUCAGUCUUGAGUUCGAGAGAGGUGAGUGGAAUUCCGAGUGUAGAGGUGAAAUUCGUAGAUAUUCGGAGGAACACCAGUGGCGAAGGCGGCUCACUGGCUCGAUACUGACGCUGAGGUGCGAAAGCGUGGGGAGCAAACAGG